UACCUACGGGAGGCAGCAGUGGGGAAUAUUGCGCAAUGGGCGAAAGCCUGACGCAGCGACGCCUCGUGAGGGAUGAAGGUCUUCGGAUCGUAAACCUCUGUCAAGAGGGAAGAAACCCUUGGAUUCGAACAGGGUCCUUGGCUGACGGUACCUCAAAAGGAAGCACCGGCUAACUCCGUGCCAGCAGCCGCGGUAAUACGGAGGGUGCAAGCGUUAAUCGGAAUCACUGGGCGUAAAGCGCUCGUAGGCUGUUUGGUAAGUCAGACGUGAAAUCCCGCGGCUUAACCGCGGAACUGCGUUUGAUACUGCCAGACUUGAGUGUCGGAGAGGGUGGCGGAAUUCCGGGUGUAGGAGUGAAAUCCGUAGAUAUCCGGAGGAACACCAGUGGCGAAGGCGGCCACCUGGACGACAACUGACGCUGAGGAGCGAAAGCGUGGGGAGCAAACAGGAUUAGAUACCCUUGUAGUCGUC
RNAcentral lists this ribosomal RNA (471 nucleotides) under uncultured bacterium. RNAcentral describes it as "bacterial SSU rRNA". It matches the Rfam family "Bacterial small subunit ribosomal RNA", at positions 335 to 798 of the family's 1533-position model. The record is from RNAcentral.